RNAcentral lists this long non-coding RNA (1068 nucleotides) under Equus caballus (horse). RNAcentral's name for it is "lncRNA (ENSECAG00000031847.3)". Lineage: Eukaryota; Metazoa; Chordata; Mammalia; Perissodactyla; Equidae. The record is from RNAcentral.
AGACAGUCCAAGGAGAGCGUGGGAGGACCGGCUAACGGAAGAAGGCAGCAAGACCCUAGAGAAAACAUAAGCCAUGGAGAAACUAAUGGAUUCCCCUGCUAAAAUUUCACUUUGAAAGUAAAGAUAAAAUGAAGACAUAGCAUGAAGACACUUGGUGAUCAAUUAUGGCAAGAUCUUUCAACCUCAGUGACUGCAUCCUUUCUUUUCUAAGAAGAGACUGUAAUUCUUUCUCUGAUGCAUGGAGAGUAACUAGAAAAACUAGGUUACAGCAUAAAGACAGCAGUCUAGACACCAAAUCUCCUCCUCACCAGACACCAAAUCUUCCAGCAUCAUGCUUUUGGACUUCCCAACCUCCAGACCUGCUUUGACAUCUGAGAUCUUGCUGACCCUGGAGAGACUGUUCUCGCUAUGUCAACCAGUUCCCAGAAACAGUAAACACCUCAAAUGCACUCUCAAAGAAAUAAAAAUAUCCACAGACGGACAUAUAUCUAACUGAUAAAUGGUGUGAUAUUUCAUCGUUGCUCCUGUUGAAAGUCUCAAGGCAAUAUGUUUCUUGUUUUAUUUGUUAGUCCUAUCAGUACAUGAAUGUUAUUUGAAAGGAGGAGAAGGAGCAAGAUAGGAGGAGAGGAAAGAAGAGGAGGAGGAACAGAGCAAACAUAUGCAUGCCUAUAAGUAAAUCUAACCAAUCAGCAGUCAAGUGCAGUCCUUUUUGAAAUUGCAGAAGUCUCUCAAGCAUAUAAUUUGUGGCUUCCAGUGAGUUUGAACUUCAUGCUUGAAGUGAUGCACUAGUAGGUGAUUUAAUUCGUGCACCUGUGUCUGGAUUUCUUCCAGACACAAUGAAACGGGUAACUACUUCAGGAUUUACCUAAUAAGGAUUGCAGCGAGACAUCAGAAAGGCACUGAUUGGCAUAUGUGGGCAGGAAAAGGAACAACGAGCUUCCAGUAGAGCUGUGAUAGACACCUGGGUUCAGCCCUUGAGACAAAAACUGAGCAUUUCUCAGCUCCCAAGGCCAAGCCCUUUGGCUUCAAUGAUGUACAAUUUUCUCAUUACAAAUACUAUUGUACCCA